Molecule: ribosomal RNA, 390 nt
Filed under: fungal sp.
Lineage: Eukaryota; Fungi
Description: SSU rRNA
Rfam family: Eukaryotic small subunit ribosomal RNA
Source: RNAcentral
CGUGUGGUUCUAUUUUGUUGGUUAUGGGACCGCCGUAAUGAUUAAUAGGGACAGUCGGGGGCAUCAGUAUUCAAUUGUCAGAGGUGAAAUUCUUGGAUUUAUUGAAGACUAACUACUGCGAAAGCAUUUGCCAAGGAUGUUUUCAUUAAUCAGGAACGAAAGUUAGGGGAUCGAAGACGAUCAGAUACCGUCGUAGUCUUAACCAUAAACUAUGCCGACUAGGGAUCGGACGAUGUUACUUUUUGACUCGUUCGGCACCUUACGAGAAAUCAAAGUCUGUGGGUUCCUGGGGAAGUAUGGUGGCAACGCUGAAACUUAAAGAAAUUGACGGAAGGGCACCACCAGGGGUGGAGCCUGCGGCUUAAUUUGACUCAACACGGGGAAACUCAC